RNAcentral lists this ribosomal RNA (253 nucleotides) under uncultured bacterium. RNAcentral's name for it is "partial 16S ribosomal RNA". It matches the Rfam family "Bacterial small subunit ribosomal RNA", at positions 524 to 776 of the family's 1533-position model. The record is from RNAcentral.
GACGGAGGAUGCAAGCGUUAUCCGGAAUGAUUGGGCGUAAAGCGUCCGCAGGUGGCAGUUCAAGUCUGCUGUCAAAGACCGGGGCUUAACUUCGGAAAGGCAGUGGAAACUGAACAGCUAGAGUAUGGUAGGGGCAGAGGGAAUUCCUGGUGUAGCGGUGGAAUGCGCAGAGAUCAGGAGGAACACCCAUGGCGAAGGCAGCUCUCUGGUCGACCUCUGACGCUGAGACGCGAAAGCGUGGGGAGCGAACGGG